RNAcentral lists this transfer RNA (76 nucleotides) under Amycolatopsis saalfeldensis. Its description in RNAcentral is "tRNA_Leu_CAG". It matches the Rfam family "tRNA". Rfam says of the family: Transfer RNA (tRNA) molecules are approximately 80 nucleotides in length. Their secondary structure includes four short double-helical elements and three loops (D, anti-codon, and T loops). Lineage: Bacteria; Bacillati; Actinomycetota; Actinomycetes; Pseudonocardiales; Pseudonocardiaceae. RNAcentral also lists the same sequence under 3 other names. The record is from RNAcentral.
GCCCCUGUAGCCCAACGGCAGAGGCAACGCGCUCAGAACGCGUCCAGUCCAGGUUCAAAUCCUGGUAGGGGCACCA